Molecule: ribosomal RNA, 232 nt
Filed under: uncultured bacterium
Lineage: Bacteria
Description: partial 16S ribosomal RNA
Rfam family: Bacterial small subunit ribosomal RNA
Source: RNAcentral
GAUCAUGGCUCAGGAUGAACGCUAGCUACAGGCUUAGCACAUGCAAGUCGAGGGGAAACGACAUCGAAAGCUUGCUUUUGAUGGGCGUCGACCGGCGCACGGGUGAGUAACGCGUAUCCAACCUGCCCACCACUUGGGGAUAACCUUGCGAAAGUAAGACUAAUACCCAAUGAUAUCUCUAGAAGGCAUCUGAAAGAGAUUAAAGAUUUAUCGGUGAUGGAUGGGGAUGCGU